This is a small nucleolar RNA of Crocodylus porosus (Australian saltwater crocodile), 137 nucleotides long. The record is from Ensembl. NCBI's taxonomy places the organism in Eukaryota, Metazoa, Chordata, Crocodylia, Crocodylidae.
CCGCAAGCCGUGCAGCGUGGCUGGGUCUGCCUGUGACCUUGCUCAUUCCUGUAGUGCUUGCAAGAGCAACCCUGAGGUGGUUUGAGGCCUUGUUCUGCUUCCCUUUUGGGACAAGGUUACAAAAAUUUCAGACAUUC